GGGAAUCUGGUCUAGUGGUAAGACCCUUCACUCUAGACCAUGAGGUACUGGGUUCAAAUCUCAAGUCCCCA
This is a non-coding RNA of Eragrostis curvula (weeping love grass), 71 nucleotides long. The record is from the annotation of a GenBank genome assembly. Lineage: Eukaryota; Viridiplantae; Streptophyta; Magnoliopsida; Poales; Poaceae.